CCUACGGGAGGCAGCAGUGGGGAAUAUUGGGCAAUGGGCGCAAGCCUGACCCAGCGACGCCGCGUGAGGGAUGAAGGUCUUCGGAUUGUAAACCUCUUUCAGUGGGGAAGAAGCGAAAGUGACGGUACCCAAAGAAGAAGCACCGGCUAACUAUGUGCCAGCAGCCGCGGUAAUACAUAGGGUGCAAGCGUUGUCCGGAAUUAUUGGGCGUAAAGAGCUUGUAGGUCGUUCAUCACGUCGGAUGUGAAAAUCUGAGGCUCAACCUCAGACCUGCAUUCGAUACGAGUGAACUAGAGUUUGGUAGGGGAGACUGGAAUUCCUGGUGUAGCGGUGGAAUGCGCAGAUAUCAGGAGGAACAUCAAUGGCGAAGGCAGGUCUCUGGGCCAAUACUGACACUGAGGAGCGAAAGCGUGGGGAGCGAACAGGAUUAGAUACCCUGGUAGUCCACGCCGUAAACGGUGGGCACUAGUUGUGGGGACCUUCCACGGUUUCCGCGACGCNGCUACGCAUAGUGCCCGCCGCGGGAGGUACGAGCGCGAGAAGUUAAACGUACUUAAAUUAGUAGUUAGUUACGGCGUUGAGACGCGACGGACGACGACGAGGAGGAGG
This 609-nucleotide ribosomal RNA is filed under the name uncultured bacterium. Its description in RNAcentral is "bacterial SSU rRNA". The stretch from base 1 to 520 matches the Rfam family "Bacterial small subunit ribosomal RNA", at positions 338 to 873 of the family's 1533-position model. The record is from RNAcentral.